Long non-coding RNA from Xenopus laevis (African clawed frog), 1206 nucleotides. RefSeq lists it as uncharacterized. The transcript is spliced from 8 exons. The record is from RefSeq and is a predicted model, not a curated record. Lineage: Eukaryota; Metazoa; Chordata; Amphibia; Anura; Pipidae.
CUUUAUAAAUUACAAACAUUUUUUAUGCACAACUUGUUUACCUAGUUUUUAUUUGUACACUGAAACGGAACUGUUCCUUUAAGUAUCUAAAGAAGGGUGUUUCCCUCAAAGCCUUUCUUUCAUGCACUGUUCUACUUUAAACAUAUAUUGGUGACCACUUAAGAAAUUUUGGGAGGUGAACUGGCUACUGCCGCAUUAUUUCAAUGGUCUAUUUCCCAGACUGUUUGAGCCCCUGUUGUAUGUAAUGGAAGUGGUAAAUUGAAAUGUGUAGCUUUAUAUGGAAUCUGAAACUAAAACUUUCCUUUUUAAAAACUAUAGGCAGGAAUAGUACAUAAUGAAGCGAGUGGUGUUGUGUAGCUUUUAACCAAGCCUUAUUGAAUAUCUAGACACACUCUGUUGUGAAUGUGCCCAUCUCAGUUUAAGGCAAUAUUAAGAUACAGGUUUUGCUUUCAUCAUGCAAAUUACAAAUUGCACUGGUGACAAUGAGACCUGCCACAUUUUCAUAAUGUUUAGAACAAUGUCCUAAGCAGGUCUACUUAUGAUUUUUUUUAUUCUUUUUGAACUUGCUGAAAAAAAUUGUUUGAGGUGUUGCCUGCCUUGGAAUAAGCCUAGGUGUAGUGAAAUGCUUUUUGGACUACUAAAAUCAAUGGUCUGAAUGCACUUUCUCCAAAAUAUUAUCUUAAUACUAUGCACUCUUUUCAGGCAUUGAUGUGGAAAUGGGAUCCUAUAACAUGCUGCUUAUUUUCUGCAGAAGAAAUACUGCUCCAUCAAGGUCAUUUCAGGCGACCUCUCCUGGCGUCCUUGAGUUCUAUACUCAUGACUGUAAUGCAAAAUUGAUCACUAAAUCGAAGGGUUGAUCAGUACUACUUCACUUACAGCUGUGGCAUGGAGGGUUUUGAAAAGCAAACUUUGCUGUUUAAAGGCACACCUGUGGUAUUAUAAUGCAAACAGACGGAAUUAAAAGCUGUUAAAUGAUGGCUGUCCUUUGAGGCAUUGUAUGCUGAGAUGUAGGAGAUGUGACAAAGGCUCUGGAUGCUGAGAUGUAGGAGCUGUGACAAAGGAGGUAGACAUGUUUGCCUUGCUCUGGAGAGAAUUUAAUACAAGCUUAUGACUUGCUGAAAAGGCUUGUGAUUAAAACUACAAUCAAAUUUUUUUUCUGAACUAUAACCUGCACAUUGGUCUUUGCAUUAAAAUUGUUUUGAAGUA